GGCUGUGGAGACGGAAAUUCAGUUGAUCCACUAUUAUAAGAAGUUAUAAAACGAACCAGAUAUUUUUUGUGGUCAAUAUACAUUGGAAAAAAAAAGAAAAAAAAAAAAGAACCAUCAGUAAUGACGAAGCGGUCCCGCGGAGUGCUACUACACACUGCUGCCGUGACUCUUACCCUCGGGGAUGCCAGCCUUGAUAGGACACAGCCUCUGCGUCCAUCACUGCAGGCCGGGCAGUGUCGCAGCGUUGCCUCCACGGUGCUGGUGUGGCAGGCGCUGGCGUGGUGGCUUAUACGGGACAGUGAGACAAAUAAGCCAUGAAAGAACGGGGAAUCUUGAAUUGAAACCUGUGCUGUGCCUUAAAUGACCCACCACCCACCCUUCGUCGCCACCACCACCACCACCAUCACCAUCACCACCUGCCGCCACCACCACCACCUCAUCGACAUCAGAUCACCGCUACUACUGCGACUUCUACUACCACUACCACCACCGCCAC
RNAcentral lists this long non-coding RNA (496 nucleotides) under Portunus trituberculatus (swimming crab). RNAcentral describes it as "uncharacterized LOC123503090, transcript variant X3". Lineage: Eukaryota; Metazoa; Arthropoda; Malacostraca; Decapoda; Portunidae. The record is from RNAcentral.